This 410-nucleotide unclassified non-coding RNA is filed under the name Melitaea cinxia (Glanville fritillary). RNAcentral describes it as "misc RNA ENSMCXG00005013074.1". The record is from RNAcentral. Lineage: Eukaryota; Metazoa; Arthropoda; Insecta; Lepidoptera; Nymphalidae.
GUGCGGGGAGUGGGGUGGGUGGGUUUUUUUUUUUUUUUUUUUUUUUUUUUUUUUUUUUUUUUUUUUUUUUUUUUUUUUUUUUUUUUUUUUUUUUUUUUUUUUUUUUUUUUUUAUCGUUAGGUUAGGUUUUUUUUUUUUUUUUUUUUUUUUUUUUUUUUUUUUUUUUUUUUUUUUUUUUUUUUUUUUUUUUUUUUUUUUUUUUUUUUUUUUUAUCGUUAGGUUAGGUUUUUUUUUUUUUUUUUUUUUUUUUUUUUUUUUUUUUUUUUUUUUUUUUUUUUUUUUUUUUUUUUUUUUUUUUUUUUUUUUUUUUUUUAUCGUUGCCAUUUUCUUUCGCAACGCUUGUGCCAGUAAUUAUUUAAUUCAACAGUAGUAAUAUGACAAUAUUAUAAUAAUUUUCUAAUAAUAGUAUA